This 497-nucleotide ribosomal RNA is filed under the name uncultured bacterium. RNAcentral describes it as "partial 16S ribosomal RNA". It matches the Rfam family "Bacterial small subunit ribosomal RNA", at positions 28 to 507 of the family's 1533-position model. The record is from RNAcentral.
GAUGAACGCUGGCGGCGUGCCUAAUACAUGCAAGUCGAGCGAACAGACGAGAAGCUUGCUCCUCACACGUUAGACGCUGACGGGCGAGUAACUCGUGGAUACCUUACUUAUCAGCCUGGGAUCACUUCGGGACACCGGAGCUCAUAACGGAUAAUAUCUUAAUAUUCAUGGUUCAAUAGUGAUAGACGGAAUUGUUGUAUCUCAUAGCUGGCUCCUCGCCGCAUUAGCUAGUUGGUAAGGUAACGGCUUACCAAGGAAACGAUGCGUACCCGACCUGAGAGGGUGAUCGGCCACACGGGAACUAGGACACGGUCCGGACUCCUAGGGAAGGAAGCGGUAGGGAAUCUUCCGCAAUGAGCGAAGGCCUAACGGAGCAAGGCCGCUGAGGUGAGGAGGGUCUUCGAAUCUUAAAACUCUGUGAUUAGGGAAGAACAAAGGGGUAAUUAACUAUUCACGUCUUGACGGUACCUUAUCAGAAAGCCACGGCUAACUACGUG